This 253-nucleotide ribosomal RNA is filed under the name uncultured bacterium. RNAcentral's name for it is "partial 16S ribosomal RNA". It matches the Rfam family "Bacterial small subunit ribosomal RNA", at positions 524 to 776 of the family's 1533-position model. The record is from RNAcentral.
UACGUAGGGUGCGAGCGUUGUCCGGAAUUAUUGGGCGUAAAGGGCUCGUAGGCGGUCUGUCGCGUCGGGAGUGAAAACUCAGGGCUUAACCCUGAGCCUGCUUCCGAUACGGGCAGACUAGAGGUAUGCAGGGGAGAACGGAAUUCCUGGUGUAGCGGUGGAAUGCGCAGAUAUCAGGAGGAACACCGAUGGCGAAGGCAGAUCUCUGGGCCGUAACUGACGCUGAGGAGCGAAAGCGUGGGGAGCGAACAGG